UGGGGAAUAUUGCACAAUGGGCGGAAGCCUGAUGCAGCGACGCCGCGUGAGGGAUGACGGCCUUCGGGUUGUAAACCUCUUUCAGCAGGGACGAAGCGAGAGUGACGGUACCUGCAGAAGAAGCGCCGGCCAACUACGUGCCAGCAGCCGCGGUAAGACGUAGGGCGCGAGCGUUGUCCGGAUUUAUUGGGCGUAAAGAGCUCGUAGGCGGCUUGUCGCGUCGAAUGUGAAAUUUCAGGGCUCAACUCUGACAUUGCAUUCGAUACGGGCAGGCUAGAGUUCGGUAGGGGAGACUGGAAUUCCUGGUGUAGCGGUGAAAUGCGCAGAUAUCAGGAGGAACACCGGUGGCGAAGGCGGGUCUCUGGGCCGAUACUGACGCUGAGGAGCGAAAGCGUGGGGAGCGAACAG
This 408-nucleotide ribosomal RNA is filed under the name uncultured bacterium. Its description in RNAcentral is "bacterial SSU rRNA". It matches the Rfam family "Bacterial small subunit ribosomal RNA", at positions 355 to 775 of the family's 1533-position model. The record is from RNAcentral.